RNAcentral lists this ribosomal RNA (248 nucleotides) under uncultured bacterium. Its description in RNAcentral is "partial small subunit ribosomal RNA". It matches the Rfam family "Bacterial small subunit ribosomal RNA", at positions 26 to 288 of the family's 1533-position model. The record is from RNAcentral.
AGGACGAACGCUGGCGGCGUGCUUAACACAUGCAAGUCGAGCGAACCUUCGGGUUAGCGGCGAACGGGUGAGUAACACGUGGGCAACCUGCCCCGAGCUCUGGGAUAACCCCGGGAAACCGGGGCUAAUACCGGAUAUGACGCCGACAGACAUCUGUCGGUGUGGAAAGUUUUUUCGGCUCGGGAUGGGCCCGCGGCCUAUCAGCUUGUUGGUGGGGUAACGGCCUACCAAGGCGACGACGGGUAGCC